GGAGAGGUGGCAGAGUGGUCGAAUGCGCUCGACUUGAAAUCGAGUGGGCGUUAACAGCGUCCCGGGGGUUCGAAUCCCCCCCUCUCCG
RNAcentral lists this transfer RNA (88 nucleotides) under Roseofilum reptotaenium AO1-A. It matches the Rfam family "tRNA". From Rfam's summary of the family: Transfer RNA (tRNA) molecules are approximately 80 nucleotides in length. Their secondary structure includes four short double-helical elements and three loops (D, anti-codon, and T loops). RNAcentral also lists the same sequence under 10 other names. Lineage: Bacteria; Bacillati; Cyanobacteriota; Cyanophyceae; Desertifilales; Desertifilaceae. The record is from Rfam by way of RNAcentral.